AAAUUGAAGAGUUUGAUCAUGGCUCAGAUUGAACGCUGGCGGCAGGCCUAACACAUGCAAGUCGAACGGUAACAGGAAGCAGCUUGCUGCUUCGCUGACGAGUGGCGGACGGGUGAGUAAUGUCUGGGAAACUGCCUGAUGGAGGGGGAUAACUACUGGAAACGGUAGCUAAUACCGCAUAAUGUCGCAAGACCAAAGAGGGGGACCUUCGGGCCUCUUGCCAUCGGAUGUGCCCAGAUGGGAUUAG
Molecule: ribosomal RNA, 247 nt
Filed under: Escherichia coli
Lineage: Bacteria; Pseudomonadati; Pseudomonadota; Gammaproteobacteria; Enterobacterales; Enterobacteriaceae
Also listed under: 1 other name
Description: partial 16S ribosomal RNA
Rfam family: Bacterial small subunit ribosomal RNA
Source: RNAcentral